RNAcentral lists this long non-coding RNA (340 nucleotides) under Setaria viridis. Its description in RNAcentral is "long non-coding RNA (SVIR_LNC001309)". The record is from RNAcentral. Lineage: Eukaryota; Viridiplantae; Streptophyta; Magnoliopsida; Poales; Poaceae.
UGGACUGCUCUCGCAUUGCCUUCUCCAUCUCAUGCUCCCUUGCCAUUGCCGCCUUCUUGUACAUUUCCUUGUCAUACCGGGCACCCAUCGCUUCCAUUCUAGUAUCUUCGUUCUUCUGUUUCUGAUUGUAAUACUCCCGGAUACAGGCUUGAUGUAAAUUGUACAUAGCGGUCAUGUAGUCAGAAGCAGCAGCCACCAUCACAUCGUGCUCCACACGAGAGGUGUUCUUCAAGGCUUUAAUCCUCCGCUUCCAUACCCCGUCAUCUUGAUGCUUGAUUGGAUAGAAUCGAGCAGAGCUCGACCCUAUUUCCACCUUAUGAUUCUCACACAGCUCAGUAAG